This 253-nucleotide ribosomal RNA is filed under the name uncultured bacterium. Its description in RNAcentral is "partial 16S ribosomal RNA". It matches the Rfam family "Bacterial small subunit ribosomal RNA", at positions 524 to 776 of the family's 1533-position model. The record is from RNAcentral.
UACGUAGGGUGCGAGCGUUGUCCGGAUUUAUUGGGCGUAAAGAGCUCGUAGGCGGUUUGUCGCGUCGGCCGUGAAAUCUCCACGCUUAACGUGGAGCGUGCGGUCGAUACGGGCAGACUUGAGUUCGGUAGGGGAGACUGGAAUUCCUGGUGUAGCGGUGAAAUGCGCAGAUAUCAGGAGGAACACCGAUAGCGAAGGCAGCUCGCUGGGACGGUACUGACGCUGAGGCGCGAAAGCGUGGGGAGCGAACAGG